Rhinopithecus roxellana (golden snub-nosed monkey) is the source of this 338-nucleotide long non-coding RNA. RefSeq lists it as uncharacterized. NCBI's taxonomy places the organism in Eukaryota, Metazoa, Chordata, Mammalia, Primates, Cercopithecidae. The record is from RefSeq and is a predicted model, not a curated record. The transcript is spliced from 3 exons.
AUGAAACUUGAUGUUAAUAAAAAUAGCAACACUAGAUAGAACGCUGGGCUAGGGAGAUGGUCAUUUCUAGAGAUUCAUCAACUGAAGGAGAAUGUAUCUCACUAUAAGAUGAGAUAACUGAAGCCCAAAGAUGAAAAGCAGCUUGCCUGAGGUCACACAGCUAGUAUGUAGGGGAUCUCAGAUUCAAACCAGGGAGCCUGACUACAGAAUUGGAAUGCUUAUCUCCUCCUGCUUCAAAUAUUUAUGAGACAUAUGCAAAAGCUGAGACAUGCUACUGUGAGAAUGCUUUCAGUAUCACUGGGAAUAAAAUCUGAAACACAAUGGCCGGAAAGGUCCCA